AGUGAACGCUGGCGGUAGGCCUAACACAUGCCAGUCGAACGGCAGCACAGUAAGAGCUUGCUCUUACGGGUGGCGAGUGGCGGACGGGUGAGGAAUACAUCGGAAUCUACUUUUUCGUGGGGGAUAACGUAGGGAAACUUACGCUAAUACCGCAUACGACCUACGGGUGAAAGCAGGGGAUCUUCGGACCUUGCGCGAUUGAAUUAGCCGAUGUCGGAUUAGCUAGUUGGCGGGGUAAAGGCCCACCAAGGCGACGAUCCGUAGCUGGUCUGAGAGGAUGAUCAGCCACACUGGAACUGAGACACGGUCCAGACUCCUACGGGAGGCAGCAGUGGGGAAUAUUGGGCAAUGGGCGCAAGCCUGAUCCAGCAAUACCGCGUGGGUGAAGAAGGUCUUCGGGUUGUAAAGCCCUGUUGUUGGGAAAGAAAAGCAGCAGGUUAAUACCCCGCUGUUCUGACGGUACCCAAAGAAUAAGCACCGGCUAACUUCGUG
RNAcentral lists this ribosomal RNA (492 nucleotides) under uncultured bacterium. Its description in RNAcentral is "partial 16S ribosomal RNA". It matches the Rfam family "Bacterial small subunit ribosomal RNA", at positions 29 to 507 of the family's 1533-position model. The record is from RNAcentral.